AACAUGAUGUCUUAUAGAACACAACACAGUGUAACCUGGAAUUCUUGUUCACUCUUACUUUAGCCUAGUAUGUGAAGAAGAUACUGAAUUUGGAGGAGGAGAGAAGAAAAAGACCAACCCUGCCUUUCCCAGUUCCAGAUGACAUAAUGAAUGUCUUGAAGGAGCUGGAUGCGGUGAAAGACUCAACACAUAUCCUGGACAGCACUCUGAGUAUUAUGGCACUGUGAAGAGCUCUGGGGGAGUGGGGGGAGGACAGGAACUCCUCACGGUCUAACACUGGUAUGUCCUGAGGACCAAUGGAUGGAGAAAGGAGAAGAAGAAAAGAAGACGUGAAGUCUGUUUCUGGUGUCACAAUAACUGUUCAUAUUUCUGUUUUUGUGAUUGCCCGUUUGUCUGUUUUUAUUGUCACUUGCAAGGGCAUCCUGAUCUGUGGCUGGUGGUUCUAGGCAUCUACCAUUUAUGAGCCCAUCUCUAGGGAAGGCUAGCGGGACAACUGAACUGAAGGUGCAGCUGUCUCAGUGGUUCGGGACACUGUAGUAGACUUUAGAGAUUGGUCACAGGGCUGACGGUCUGCAUGGGAAUGCAGAGGCCUUUUCCAGGCAGGUCAACAUGUGAAGUGGGGCAGUGCUGUCGGCACAGCAUGGAAAAGAACACAGCUACUCCGGAGGUACUAGUUACCGCAGGCGCAGACAGACUUCUCUGUAGACCAGCGAUGCAUCCAGCAGCCAGCAAGCAAGGACAGUCACCAACCCCACUCUUUUCAUCCAGACCUGCAAACAGCACUCCUCAGCUAGUGAGAACAGGCAGCCCUGGCUGUUCAUCCAGAGCAGUAGGAAGAGUUUGGCGUCUUCAGCCACCAGUCCCUUGAUCAUGAGGAGCUGGGGAGCAAGGUCCUGUCCUCACCCAGCCCAGGUGGGCUCAAUCCUGAGUUAUGCGCAGACGUAUAGGUCUCAGACCUUGAGACGAAGGCACUCCCAUUCACAGUGGCGUGAUUUCACAGCCCAGAUAGGCUAUCUGAUGGCCUACAUUAGGACUUAGAGCUGGUCCAUGGCUCGGUGGGGCUGGACCACUUCGGCAUUGCAGUGAUCCUGCACCAUGUUUAAGCCCACCUGGUGGCCAUGAUGAGUGAGACUCCGGCCCCUCUAAGGCCCAAUUCACACCAAAGAUUCUCGAUGCAACGAGACCGAGUUGCAGCGGUGUGAAUUAAAUGUUGCACGUAGUUGCAGGCCAUCACAAGCCGUCGCAAAGCAUUCAACAUGUUUAGUCGCAGUUGCAAGGUUUUAGAACGUUGUGGCUUGUCUUGUUGCGAAUCUUUGGUCUGAAUCCUAAGGUCACACAGCAUAUUCCCAGGCCCCACAAACUCAGGGCCAUACUGUACAUGAUAGAAGGCUGAAAAAGGCUACACACAAUCUUUAAAUUUGGUGUCUGCAGGUUUUAACACCUUUAAAUUAAGACUUAUGAUUGUUUUUACGUGCAUUGUUAUUGGAAUGUAAGAUUUUCCAUGCCCAUAAUGCCUGAACAGAAGGAUAUGAAGUAGAAAGACCAGAAACCAAGAUUUCAAGCAUAAGUAAACACAUUACAGUGACAAAUAGUUAGGCCUAUGAGAUCUUGUUUAUAGCACCUGUAUAGGCUAGAAAGCCCUGAAAUAAUCAACUCCUACAAUUCAUGCCAGCUCAACAAUAAAACAUACAAAAAAACUAAAUAAAACAAACAUUUUAGCUUCUAAAUGACCUCUGUAGAAACAGUGUUACAUGAGUAGGCUAGGCUAUUACCCCAAUAUAUGUACAAACUAGACCUAGAGCAUUAUUUUAAGGCCAGAAAUUCACAUAAUGACAUUUUUUUUACUCUCCACGGACACUCUGCACAUCAUUCGAGACACCGGGAUAAUACUCUGCUACUGCGGGGGCACACUGUGUUCCCACCCAGUUGUUAGGUGCUCCAACUGUUACUCUGUUGCAGAUGCACAUGGUCGGUCGGUCGGUCGGUCUACCGACCUUAUAUAACAGCUGCUCUUGCGAGCUACGGCUAUACCGACGCUUUGCAGUUUUUCGAUGUAUAGUCUAUUGUCACACGAACGCUUGUAAUCGUAUCUAUAAUAUGGUUGGCACAUCGUCUAGUGACCAACUCUCUAAAAUGGUUGGUUAUUUUUCAACUCACUAAAAUUGUUAGUUAUUUUUGCAACUGCGAUUUAAAGACAAAGAAUGAUCAGGAAGAGUACUUACAUCUCAUCAGUCACUGCGUGUCGAGGCAGCAGAGACUGUGGUGAAAAUGCAGCAUCCUUUUGUGCAUAGGAAGUUACUCCGCCUAUUGCAUAACAUGAGAGAGUAGAGUUAUGCAAGGGCAGCCUAAGGAAAAAUGUGUGCUUACGAAAUAUUCAGCGGGCUGUAAUGACCUUGUCAGCAGAUUACUCUGCAUAAACGCCAUGCUGCUUAACCUCAAGAACAAGGAAAUGGGCUAAGAUGAACGAACUUGUGACACAUUGUAGCGUGCAGCGAUAUGCAACAAUGAAGAAAGAUAUAUAAGCCCAUGGUGGUGAAGUACCUUAAAAUAAAGUACUUUAUAUAUUUACAAACUGGCCAAAAUGAGCUCUUGUCGCAGAUUAGUGAACAGUGGUUGAUAUGAUUUUUCAUAAAUGGAAAUGUCCCAAAAUAUAUUUCAGCGGGCAACUACUACCAUCUAGUGGUUAAAUAAAAGCAGUUCAGUUUUGAAACUACAGUACAUCAAAUCAAAUCAGGCUUAUUGGCCAUGUAUACUUGCGUAUAGGAAUUUGGUCUCUGCAUUUAUCCCAUCUGUGAGUUAGUGGACACACACAACACACAGUGAACACACAGUGAGGUGAAGCACACACUAACCCGGAGCAGUGAGCUGCCUUUAUAAGCGGCGCUCAGGGAGCAUUGAGGGGUUAGGUCAGGUGCCUUGCUCAAGGGCACAUCAGCCGUGGUCUGGUAGGGGAUCGAACCGGCAACCCUUCGGUUACAAGCUCGAAGCCCUCACCACGGCUGCAUGCAAGUGGGCAGCCUGGUAGAGUGGUAUAGCCUACAAGCCAAACGGAGUAUUAGGGCCACACAUGUAGCGUGGAUAAAAACAGAAUGCAAUGAUUGCAAAAUCGCACAAAUACAGCUUUUGUUGAAACAGAUACGUUGAUGUUAUGGAAAAUAUGUUCUUUUUGAAUUUUGUGCCAUUUUGCUGGAGUUUUGAGAAUGACAUGUAGGAUAAGAUUUCAACUGCUCAGCAGUCUGGGGUCUUCCGAAUCAUGUUUCUCAUUCCAUGAAGUGACACAUCCAAUGUGACAAGUCUGGCCUGCAGACAGGCCAUUUCAGUACCUGGGCUCUUCUACUAUGAAGCCAUAGGGUUGUGACAUGUGCAGAAUGCAAUUUGGCCGUUGACAUAAUCUGGAUGGCAUCAUAGGUUGCUCAAAACAAGCAUAUACCAUUCAGUAUUAAUUUGAACCUGUCCAACUGUAAAGGACGGCACAAAGCACACUCAAGGAUGAGAAUUGCGUUGGCCGUCAAAAGAUUUACAGUAAUAUCUGUAUUGAACAAUAGGAUAGACUGGCAAAGAACUGAUAAAUUACAAGAAUUUACUGUAUGAUUAAUCUGACUCCAUAAAAUUACGAAAUUGACCUAAAACUAGAUGUACCGCAAAGCGGCACACAAUAUGACCGCUGCUCAGU
Long non-coding RNA from Sardina pilchardus (European sardine), 3673 nucleotides. RefSeq lists it as uncharacterized. The transcript has 3 exons. The record is from RefSeq and is a predicted model, not a curated record. NCBI's taxonomy places the organism in Eukaryota, Metazoa, Chordata, Actinopteri, Clupeiformes, Clupeidae.